CCUACGGGUGGCUGCAGUGAGGAAUAUUGGUCAAUGGACGCGAGUCUGAACCAGCCAAGUAGCGUGAAGGAUGACUGCCCUAUGGGUUGUAAACUUCUUUUAUAUGGGAAUAAAAGAGGGUUUGCAUACCCCCUAUUAUGUACACUAUGAAAAAGAGUACGCUAACUCCGGGCCAGCAGCGCCGGUAAUACGGGGGAGGCGCGCGUUUUCCGGAUUUAUUGGGGUUAAAGGGAGCGUAGGUGGGCUUGUAAGUCAGUGGUGAAAGUUCGCGGCUCAACCGUAAAAUUGCAGUUGAAACUGGCAGUCUUGAGUACAGUAGAGGUGGGCGGAAUUCGUGGUGUAGCGGUGAAAUGCUUAGAUAUCAUGAAGAACUCCGAUCGCGAAGGCAGGUCACCGGACUGCAACUGACACUGAUGCUCGAAAGUGUGGGUAUCAAACAGGAUUAGAUACCCGGGUAGUC
This 460-nucleotide ribosomal RNA is filed under the name uncultured bacterium. RNAcentral describes it as "partial 16S ribosomal RNA". It matches the Rfam family "Bacterial small subunit ribosomal RNA", at positions 338 to 795 of the family's 1533-position model. The record is from RNAcentral.